UGAGGAAUAUUGGUCAAUGGGCGGUAGCCUGAACCAGCCAAGUCGCGUGAGGGAAGACGGCCCCUAUGGGUUGGUAAAACCUCCUUUUUGUCGGGGGAGCAAGACGGUGUACGUGUACGCCGUCUGAGAGUACCCGAAGAAAAAGCAUCGGCUAACUCCGUGCC
RNAcentral lists this ribosomal RNA (164 nucleotides) under uncultured bacterium. RNAcentral describes it as "partial 16S ribosomal RNA". It matches the Rfam family "Bacterial small subunit ribosomal RNA", at positions 355 to 509 of the family's 1533-position model. The record is from RNAcentral.